AUGGUUAACUCUGCUAUGGAAAGGGAGCCAUUUAAGCAAAGGACUGUACCAUCUGGAGUGAUCUUCAGUCUCAGCCAUUUCUUUAGCUCCAACUCUUUAGUUCAUUCUUGGAGCUCCAGAAGUGCAGAGCACUUGGACUGUGGGACUUCUGUGCCUCUGUCAAUGAUCACAUACAGAUGGUAUGAAAACACAGAGAUCCAGCGGGUUCCCAUGGCAUUGAGACAAAAUUACGUGGAGUGGAGAAUUCCUUCUGAGAGACUAAAAAACAUGGAGAUGUUAUGGAUGAACGAGGCCAGACUUUCUUCAGAGGAAAAGGCUCUUGUUUAUUUAAAAAGAGCUACAGGAGAUGGAAGGCCUGAGAUAGGCUCAGACCCCCAUGCAACAAGUAAAAAAACCCAAAAACAGUGUGUCUACCCCACAUGCACACUGGGUUCUCCAGGAAGCAUUCCUGUUUUGAGGAACUCAAGUUCCCCAAAAGAGCUCCAAACUCCACCGAACUCCCAUUUUUACAACGCCCUUUGGGUCCAGGAUUGGUGAGUUUUGGAUCCACUUGGUGAUUGGUUUGUUUCUGGCUUUCCUGUUGGUCGAAUGAUUGGUUAGGCCUUUCUCCCAAGCUCCUUCUGCGGUGCUGGUUUCAUUGCGCUGACUCUGUUCCUGGAUGUUAUUCUGCCCCUUUGGACCAUGCCCCCGGUACAUCCUGGACCCUUUAGAACUUGCUAAGAGCAUUGACUAAUCCCCUUAAAACAAUAACUCCCCUUCCCAAGGUUACGAUAGUCAACUCAACCUUAACUCAAUACAAACUGAAUCUCACUUAUAACAACUAUGCUUCUAUUAAAAUAUCAGACACCAAUUUUUUUAUUACAUUGGGCCUAUCCUGGAAAUUCAUGAAUCAGACUCUUGUGAGAGUCAGACACUGUUGAUUUUUCCAGCUCUUCUUGGAGGGAACUGCCAUGUUUCAUCACACUGACCCAGGGUCAAAGAAGAAUAGGACAAAAAAAUGUUCAUAUUCAGCUUCACCUUGGAGAGUCUCAUGGCAAAGGCCUCAUAUUCAAAACUUUAUCUAGAAAGGUGGAUUUAAUAAAGUACCAUAGAAACAGUGAAAUCUAUUUUGA
This 1112-nucleotide long non-coding RNA is filed under the name Zonotrichia albicollis (white-throated sparrow). RNAcentral's name for it is "lncRNA (ENSZALG00000003434.1)". The record is from RNAcentral. Lineage: Eukaryota; Metazoa; Chordata; Aves; Passeriformes; Passerellidae.